Ursus maritimus (polar bear) is the source of this 1602-nucleotide long non-coding RNA. The record is from Ensembl. NCBI's taxonomy places the organism in Eukaryota, Metazoa, Chordata, Mammalia, Carnivora, Ursidae.
UUUUUUGGAUAUUAUUUUAGGUUAGACCUCAAUUUAGUUGUCUUUGACUAUGAAUGAAUUCUAAAAAUUGGACUGACUGAUGAAGUUUUAAUUUUCAAGGACCUAAGAGGUUGGAUCAUAAUGCAACUGUAAAAAUUAUAGUGGCUUCUCUAGAGGGAAGUUGGAUAUAUAUUAGAGUUAAUGUAAAAGUCCUUUUUGUUUUUAUGUGGACCUCUGGAUUUAUUGACAUGUUUUAGGUUAUUAUUACUUUUAUAGUGUAUACAGUGUUGGUCUUACUGCUGAGAUAUAUUUAUUCCUGAUGUAUUGGAGACCAGAGAGUGUUAAAAUUGUGUCCUGUGGUUAGAGAUUGGGUCUCCCCUCUCCUUGUCUAUUGCUGGUGGGGUCUCCUGUGGGCAACUAAUCUACCUGUCAGAACACUAGACUACUGCUUCUCCUGACGGAAUGUGGCAAUAAUCUUAGCUCUUGCAGGCAAAUCUCAGCGUGCCUGCCUGAACAGUCCUGUGCUCGGCUCUGGGGUCGCAGUGUGCUGAGACACGGAGGGAGGCCAAUGGAGAUGAGUCAGGACCUGGCACCCACCCCAUGCUCCGCCCUACUGGUAAACAGAACAGCUAUUUGCCCGUCACUCGGGCCUCUCAGGGCCCCAAGACUCCAGGAAGAAACAAAUACUUUAGAAGCCAAAACCCCAAGGCAAGUUGGGGAGAGAACAGGGAGGGGCUAACUGUCUUGGAAAUGUCCUCAUCUGGCUUCAUGACAAUAAAGAAGUCUGGCAGAUGGGAGGAUAUACCUCAACUCUCUUUCUGGUGAGACAACCUUUGGCCUUUUUUCUGAUCACUUUAUUAUAAAGUAUUUAGUGCAUAGUCUCUGUGCUUAUACUAUUAUUCCUAAGCCUGAAGAUACACUCAUCUAUGGUCUUCUCCUCCUGUUUUUUUAGAUACCAGCAAUUUCUGUUCUAAGCUUACCAGUUGUUACAUACCUGAACUGGAGGCAUGGCUGGCUGAUUCCUUCUAGCUCUGUCAGGUAGUGUCCCACCUCUAAUACGUCAAUAGCUGAACCUCCCGUUACCUUCUGUUCAGUAGCCACGGCUGAGCCUGGGCUGGAUAUUAUGAUGUCACAAAGUAGAAUCCUUGCUACUCCCAAAGGCCCAUCUGAGACCCUCUGGCUACAGCAUUUUCUUUCUUGACCAUGGUGGGAGGUUGGGAAGGUUAAUCCCUUUAUUUCUUAACUGAGCCUUAGAAUCAUAGAAUCUUACUAUGAGCAGAGACCUUGGAGACCUAGUGACUAAUUUUAAUCUAACUCCCUUAUUUUACAGAUGAAGAAAUUCAGAUUCCAGGUAGUUAAGUGGCAGAGCUAAAUCUAAACCCAGGUGCCCUCAGUAUUAGCCCCCUGCCCUUCUGAACACACUGCACACAUGCUGGGCUCUACUCUCUGGAUUUUGUCAACAUCAUUGUUCUCUGAUAGACAGCUCAUUGGAUGAUUUUUACCUGAAUCCACCCACCCAUGACAAGAAACCAUUCAGAUAAUAUGCAUCAUGGGAAGAGAACAGAGUCUCGGGGAAGAUCAUUAGUUUUUCUGACAAUCUACUGGUAGCAGAAAUAGCUAACU